GCCUGGUUAACUCAAUUGGCAGAGUGUCAGACUCUUAAUCUGAAAGCUGCGGGUUCGACCCCCGCAUCGGGCU
Molecule: non-coding RNA, 73 nt
Organism: Talaromyces islandicus
Lineage: Eukaryota; Fungi; Ascomycota; Eurotiomycetes; Eurotiales; Trichocomaceae
Source: the annotation of a GenBank genome assembly